GGCCUAGUGGCCUAAUGGAUAAGGCAUCAGCCUUCGAGCUGAGGAUUGUGGGUUCGAGUCCCAUCUGGGUCA
This 72-nucleotide transfer RNA is filed under the name Astyanax mexicanus (Mexican tetra). It matches the Rfam family "tRNA". From Rfam's summary of the family: Transfer RNA (tRNA) molecules are approximately 80 nucleotides in length. Their secondary structure includes four short double-helical elements and three loops (D, anti-codon, and T loops). Further hydrogen bonds mediate the characteristic L-shaped molecular structure. tRNAs have two regions of fundamental functional importance: the anti-codon, which is responsible for specific mRNA codon recognition, and the 3' end, to which the tRNAs corresponding amino acid is attached (by aminoacyl-tRNA synthetases). tRNAs cope with the degeneracy of the genetic code in two manners: having more than one tRNA (with a specific anti-codon) for a particular amino acid; and 'wobble' base-pairing, i.e. permitting non-standard base-pairing at the 3rd anti-codon position. The record is from Rfam by way of RNAcentral. Lineage: Eukaryota; Metazoa; Chordata; Actinopteri; Characiformes; Acestrorhamphidae.